RNAcentral lists this ribosomal RNA (569 nucleotides) under Saitoella complicata. RNAcentral describes it as "SSU rRNA". It matches the Rfam family "Bacterial small subunit ribosomal RNA", at positions 349 to 963 of the family's 1533-position model. Lineage: Eukaryota; Fungi; Ascomycota; Saitoellomycetes; Saitoellales; Saitoellaceae. The record is from RNAcentral.
CAGCAGUCAAGAAUAUUAGUCAAUGAUCGAAAGAUUGAAGCAGCUAUCAAGAAGGAUGAAUAUAGUAUUUAUAUUAAAAUCCCUUUCUUAAUGAGAAUAAAUGAUGUUAGUUAAGAAAGUAGUACCGACCAAGAUUCGUGCCAGCAGUUGCGGUAAUACGAAGGGUACAAACGUUAAUCAUAUUUACUAGGUUUAAAGGAUACGUAGACUGUUUCUUAAAGAAACUAGAGUUAAAUAGAUGGUUCUGUAACUAAUGAAGUACCGAUAAAAUGGGUUGAGAUUAUUAGGAACGUUAAAGGCGAAAGCAAGAAUCAAGGUAAUGACUGACGUUGAGGUAUGAAGGCUAUGGAAGUGAAAAGGAUUAGAUACCCUUGUAAUCUUAGCUGUAAACGAUAUUGAUUAGUAAUUAGAUGUCUUAUUGGGAUAACCUAGAUAAUAAGACACGUUAGUUAUUGUGAAGAAAUUCUUAAAUCAAUCACCUGAAUAGUAUAGUCGCAAGGCUGAAACUUAAACCAUUUGAGAGUUGUUAUUAGCAGAGUGAAGUUUGUUAUUUAAUUCGAUAAUCCGCA